This 482-nucleotide ribosomal RNA is filed under the name uncultured bacterium. RNAcentral describes it as "partial 16S ribosomal RNA". It matches the Rfam family "Bacterial small subunit ribosomal RNA", at positions 30 to 507 of the family's 1533-position model. The record is from RNAcentral.
AUUGAACGCUGGCGGCAUGCUUUACACAUGCAAGUCGAACGGUAACAGGCCGCAAGGUGCUGACGAGUGGCGCACGGGUGAGUAAUGCAUCGGAACGUGCCCAGUCGUGGGGGAUAACUACUCGAAAGAGUAGCUAAUACCGCAUACGAUCUAUGGAUGAAAGCGGGGGACCGUAAGGCCUCGCGCGAUUGGAGCGGCCGAUGUCAGAUUAGGUAGUUGGUGGGGUAAAGGCUCACCAAGCCAACGAUCUGUAGCUGGUCUGAGAGGACGACCAGCCACACUGGGACUGAGACACGGCCCAGACUCCUACGGGAGGCAGCAGUGGGGAAUUUUGGACAAUGGGCGCAAGCCUGAUCCAGCAAUGCCGCGUGCAGGAAGAAGGCCUUCGGGUUGUAAAAUGCUUUUGUACGGAACGAAACGGCUCUGGUUAAUACCCGGGGCUAAUGACGGUACCGUAAGAAUAAGCACCGGCUAACUACGUG